RNAcentral lists this ribosomal RNA (253 nucleotides) under uncultured bacterium. RNAcentral describes it as "partial 16S ribosomal RNA". It matches the Rfam family "Bacterial small subunit ribosomal RNA", at positions 524 to 776 of the family's 1533-position model. The record is from RNAcentral.
UACGUAGGGUGCAAGCGUUGUCCGGAAUUAUUGGGCGUAAAGAGCUCGUAGGCGGUCUGUCGCGUCUGCUGUGAAAACUCAGGGCUUAACCCUGAGCUUGCAGUGGGUACGGGCAGACUAGAGUGCGGUAGGGGAGACUGGAAUUCCUGGUGUAGCGGUGAAAUGCGCAGAUAUCAGGAGGAACACCGGUGGCGAAGGCGGGUCUCUGGGCCACUACUGACGCUGAGGAGCGAAAGCGUGGGGAGCGAACAGG